GCCAUAAAGCUAGCUUAACCAAAAAACAUAACUUAACCAACUAAAUAAGCUUUCACAAACCCCAAUCAACAAACCAAAUCAUUUUUCCCCCCUAGUAUGGGCGACAGAAAAGGAAAUACUUAAGCAAUAGAAAAAGUACCGCAAGGGAAAGCUGAAAGAGAAAUGAAACAACCCAUCAAAGCACAAAAAAGCAAAGAUUAAACCUUGUACCUUUUGCAUCAUGAUCUAGCCAGAAUAAUCAAGCAAAGAGAACUUUAGUUUGAACCCCCGAAACUGCAGUGAGCUACUUCGAGACAGCUUAACAUCUAGAGCAAACCCGUCUCUGUGGCAAAAGAGUGGGAAGAUCCCCAAGUAGAAGUGAUAAACUUACCGAACUCAGUUAUAGCUGGUUGCCCAGGAAAUGGAUAGAAGUUCAGCCCUAUUUUCCUUACCCCCCUAAAUGUAAUUCACAGCCUUAGAAAAUAAGAAAAAAAUAGGAGUUAGUCAAAAGGGGGAUAGCCCUUUUGAAAAAGAACACAACCUUAAAAGUAAAAUAAGGGUCACAACACCCAAGGACCCCAGUCCCAGUGGGCCUAAAAGCAGCCACCUGAACAGAAAGCGUUAAAGCUCAGACCAAAAACAACCAACUAUUCCGACACCUACCCCAAAUUUACUUAAUCUUACUGGGCUAUCCUAUUUUAAUAUAGAAAAAAUUAUGCUAGAAUGAGUAACAAGAAGAACAAAUCUUCUCCAAGCAUAUGUGUAUGUUAGAUCGGACACACCACUAACAAAUAACGAACUCAACUAAAGAGAGUACCACGGACUAUAAAAACCCCAAGAAAACCCCGAGAACUAAUAAUCGUUAACCCAACACAGGUAUGCAACACAAAGGAAAGACUAAAAGAGGAGAAAAGGAACUCGGCAAACAAAAGCCUCGCCUGUUUACCAAAAACAUCGCCUUCUGCAAAAAUCAAAGUACAGAAGGUCCCGCCUGCCCAGUGACCACCCAGUUUAACGGCCGCGGUAUCUUGACCGUGCAAAGGUAGCGCAAUCACUUGUCCUUUAAAUGAGGACCUGUAUGAAUGGCAAAACGAGGGCUUAACUGUCUCUUCCCUCCAGUCAGUGAAAUUGAUCUGCCCGUGCAGAAGCGGACAUAAACCUGCAAGACGAGAAGACCCUGUGGAGCUUAAGACAUAAGAUUAAACACAUCUAGCAACCACAAUUAAUGGCAAAAACACUAUGUGUUACCUAAUCAGCCUGUCUUCGGUUGGGGCGACCGCGGAGUAAAACAAAACCUCCUCGUGGACUAGGACACUCCCAAAACCAAGAAGUACCCUUCUAAGUCACAGAACUUCUGACCACUAAUGAUCCGGCCUAAGCCGAUCAACGGACCAAGUUACCCCAGGGAUAACAGCGCAAUCUCCUCCAAGAGUUCCUAUCGACGAGAAGGUUUACGACCUCGAUGUUGGAUCAGGAUACCCCAAUGGUGCAGCCGCUAUUUAAGGUUCGUUUGUUCAACGAUUAAAUCCUACGUGAUCUGAGUUCAGACCGGAGAAAUCCAGGUCAGUUUCUAUCUGCAAAAUUCCCCUUCCUAGUACGAAAGGACCGGAAAGGGGGGGCCUAUGUUAUAGACACGCCCCACCUCCACUCAAUGAAGUCAACUCAAAUGUGCAAAGAGGAACACAACUCCGCAGCCAAAGAUAAAGGCCC
RNAcentral lists this ribosomal RNA (1689 nucleotides) under Phractolaemus ansorgii (hingemouth). RNAcentral's name for it is "16S ribosomal RNA". The stretch from base 95 to 1607 matches the Rfam family "Bacterial large subunit ribosomal RNA". The record is from RNAcentral. Lineage: Eukaryota; Metazoa; Chordata; Actinopteri; Gonorynchiformes; Kneriidae.